Molecule: non-coding RNA, 377 nt
Filed under: Alternaria alternata
Lineage: Eukaryota; Fungi; Ascomycota; Dothideomycetes; Pleosporales; Pleosporaceae
Description: Eukaryotic small subunit ribosomal RNA
Rfam family: Eukaryotic small subunit ribosomal RNA
Source: Rfam by way of RNAcentral
AUGCAAAUCCUAGUGCGGGCAAAUUAUACUGUAAAACUGCGAAUAGCUUAUUAAAUUAGUUAUUGUUUAUUUAAAAAUACCUUACCGCUUAGAUAUCUAUAGUAAUUCUAGAGCUAAUACAUGCUGAAAACCCUGACUUUAGAAGGGAUGCGUUAAUUAGAUUAAAGCCUAAUGCCCUUCGGGGCUUUUAGGUGGUUUAUAAUAAUUUUUACAGAUUACAUAGCCUUGCGCUAGCGACGGUUUAUUUAAAUUUCUGCCCUAUUAACUUUCGAUAGUAAGGUAUUAGCUUACUAUAGUUUUAACAGGUAAUAGAGAAUUAGGGUUUAAUUCUAGAGAGGUAGCCUAAGAAACAGCUACCCUAUCUAAGGAAGGCGGUA